GCGCGAUUAGCUCAUUUGGUAGAGCGUUUCUUUGACGUAGAAAAGGUGGCAGGUCCGAAUCCUGCAUCGCGCA
Molecule: transfer RNA, 73 nt
Filed under: Candidatus Staskawiczbacteria bacterium
Lineage: Bacteria; Candidatus Staskawicziibacteriota
Description: tRNA-Val
Rfam family: tRNA
About the family: Transfer RNA (tRNA) molecules are approximately 80 nucleotides in length.
Source: RNAcentral